CGUCGAGUAGCUCAGUUGGUAGAGCAACGGACCGAUAAUCCGCAGGUCACAUGUUCGAAUCAUGUCUCGACGA
This 73-nucleotide transfer RNA is filed under the name Acinetobacter phage Acj61. It matches the Rfam family "tRNA". From Rfam's summary of the family: Transfer RNA (tRNA) molecules are approximately 80 nucleotides in length. Their secondary structure includes four short double-helical elements and three loops (D, anti-codon, and T loops). Further hydrogen bonds mediate the characteristic L-shaped molecular structure. tRNAs have two regions of fundamental functional importance: the anti-codon, which is responsible for specific mRNA codon recognition, and the 3' end, to which the tRNAs corresponding amino acid is attached (by aminoacyl-tRNA synthetases). tRNAs cope with the degeneracy of the genetic code in two manners: having more than one tRNA (with a specific anti-codon) for a particular amino acid; and 'wobble' base-pairing, i.e. permitting non-standard base-pairing at the 3rd anti-codon position. Lineage: Duplodnaviria; Heunggongvirae; Uroviricota; Caudoviricetes; Pantevenvirales; Straboviridae. The record is from Rfam by way of RNAcentral.